UACGUAGGUGACAAGCGUUAUCCGGAAUUACUGGGCGUAAAGCGUGCGCAGGCGGUUUUGUAAGUCUGACGUGAAAUCCCCGGGCUCAACCUGGGAAUUGCGUUGGAGACUGCAAGGCUAGAAUCUGGCAGAGGGGGGUAGAAUUCCACGUGUAGCAGUGAAAUGCGUAGAGAUGUGGAGGAACACCGAUGGCGAAGGCAGCCCCCUGGGUCAAGAUUGACGCUCAUGCA
This 230-nucleotide ribosomal RNA is filed under the name uncultured bacterium. RNAcentral's name for it is "partial 16S ribosomal RNA". It matches the Rfam family "Bacterial small subunit ribosomal RNA", at positions 524 to 753 of the family's 1533-position model. The record is from RNAcentral.